RNA transcript from Homo sapiens (human), 213 nucleotides. It is a transcript of the gene named triggering receptor expressed on myeloid cells like 5, pseudogene, with no coding region annotated. The transcript has a single exon. The record is from RefSeq and is marked provisional. Lineage: Eukaryota; Metazoa; Chordata; Mammalia; Primates; Hominidae.
AGGGGGACUCUGUCUGUGCAGUGCUUCUGUAAGGGCUACAAAAACCGCAUGGAGGGCAAGGUUUGGUGCAAAAUCAGGAAGAAGUGUGAGCCUGGUUUCACCCAAGUCUGGGUGAAAGGGCCCCGCUACUUGCUGCAGGACGACGCCCAGGCCAAGGUGGUCAACAUCACCAUGGUGGCCCUCAAGCUCCAGGACUCAGGCCGAUACUGGUGC